CGGCUACCUUGUUACGACUUAACCCCAAUCACUGACCCCACCUUCGACGGCUCCUUCCUUGCGGUUAGGCCACCGGCUUCGGGUGUUGCCAACUUUCGUGGUUUGACGGGCGGUGUGUACAAGGCCCGGGAACGUAUUCACCCCGGCAGUGCUGAUCCGGGAUUACUAGCAACUCCAACUUCAUGCAGGCGAGUUGCAGCCUGCAAUCUGAACUGAGACCGGUUUUAGGGAUUGGCUCCACCUCGCGGUUUAGCAGCCCUCUGUACCGGCCAUUGUAGCAUGUGUGCAGCCCUAGACGUAAGGGGCAUGAUGACUUGACGUCGUCCCCACCUUCCUCCGAGUUGACCCCGGCAGUCUUCUACGAGUCCCCACUAUUACGUGCUGGCAACAUAGAACAAGGGUUGCGCUCGUUGCGGGACUUAACCCAACAUCUCACGACACGAGCUGACGACAGCCAUGCACCACCUGUGCUGAGCCCCGAAGGACACCGCAUCUCUGCGGCUUUUCCCAGCAUGUCAAAUCUAGGUAAGGUUUUUCGCGUUGCAUCGAAUUAAGCCACAUGCUCCGCUGCUUGUGCGGGCCCCCGUCAAUUUCUUUGAGUUUUAGUCUUGCGACCGUACUCCCCAGGCGGGGCACUUAAUGCGUUAGCUGCGGCGCGGAAA
This 662-nucleotide ribosomal RNA is filed under the name uncultured bacterium. RNAcentral describes it as "partial 16S ribosomal RNA". The record is from RNAcentral.